ACUCCUACGGGAGGCAGCAGUGGGGAAUAUUGCACAAUGGGCGCAAGCCUGAUGCAGCCAUGCCGCGUGUAUGAAGAAGGCCUUCGGGUUGUAAAGUACUUUCAGUUGUGAGGAAAGGUUAGUCGCUAAUAUCGGCUAGCUGUGACGUUAGCAACAGAAGAAGCACCGGCUAACUCCGUGCCAGCAGCCGCGGUAAUACGGAGGGUGCGAGCGUUAAUCGGAAUUACUGGGCGUAAAGCGCGUGUAGGUGGCUUGUUAAGCCAGAUGUGAAAGCCCCGGGCUCAACCUGGGAACUGCAUUUGGAACUGGCAGGCUAGAGUUUUGUAGAGGGUGGUAGAAUUUCAGGUGUAGCGGUGAAAUGCGUAGAGAUCUGAAGGAAUACCGGUGGCGAAGGCGACCACCUGGCCAAUAACUGACACUGCUGCCUCCCGUAGGAGUACUGUC
RNAcentral lists this ribosomal RNA (444 nucleotides) under uncultured bacterium. RNAcentral's name for it is "bacterial SSU rRNA". It matches the Rfam family "Bacterial small subunit ribosomal RNA", at positions 335 to 772 of the family's 1533-position model. The record is from RNAcentral.